AUACGGAGGAUCCGAGCGUUAUCCGGAUUUAUUGGGUUUAAAGGGUGCGCAGGCGGCCAUUUAAGUCAGCGGUUAAAUCGUGGGGCUCAACCCCAUUCUGCCGUUGAUACUGGGUGGCUUGAUUGCGGUCGAGGUUGGCGGAAUUCGUUGUGUAGCGGUGAAAUGCAUAGAUAUGACGAAGAACACCGAUUGCGUAGGCAGCUGACCAGACCGCAAAUGACGCUCAUGCACGAAAGUGCGGGGAUCGAACAGGAUUAGAUACCCUGGUAGUCCGCACAGUAAACGAUGAAUACUUGUUUUCGGCGAUAUAAUGUCGGAGGCAAAGCGAAAGCGAUAAGUAUUCCACCUGGGGAGUACGUUCGCAAGAAUGAAACUCAAAGGAAUUGACGGGG
This 392-nucleotide ribosomal RNA is filed under the name uncultured bacterium. Its description in RNAcentral is "partial 16S ribosomal RNA". It matches the Rfam family "Bacterial small subunit ribosomal RNA", at positions 523 to 918 of the family's 1533-position model. The record is from RNAcentral.